Non-coding RNA from Centropristis striata (black sea bass), 496 nucleotides. Lineage: Eukaryota; Metazoa; Chordata; Actinopteri; Perciformes; Serranidae. The record is from the annotation of a RefSeq genome assembly.
AUGACUCUGAUCUUCAUCUGGACUCUCCUCUGCUGCUGCUUCACAGAGUCCAGAGGACAGGUCACAGUGACUCAGCCUGGAGCAGUGAGCUCUGCUCUGGGAGUCUUCGCCUCCAUCAGCUGUAGGUUUAAUUUAGCGGUGGGAAUAGGAUCAAAAAGUGGUAAAGAAGUUUUAGCUUGGUACCAACAGAAAGAUGGAGAAACUCCUAAACUGCUAAUCCGCUACAUCAGUGAGAGGGCGUCUGGGAUUCCUGAUCGUUUUUCAGGCAAUGGAACAAAGACUGACUUCACUCUGACCAUCAGUGGACUUCAGGCUGAAGAUGCAGCAGUUUACUACUGUCUGAGUGAUCACUGGAUCAACAGUCAGGAUGUGUUCACACAGUGAAAAAGCGUCGUACAAAAACCUCCCUCAGUCAGACUGAACAGAAACUGAAGUGACUGCUGCAGCUGGAAGCUCCUGCAGAGACUGAUACACUUCACUGAAUCCCACACACACU